AUUGAACGCUGGCGGCAUGCCUAACACAUGCAAGUCGAACGGCAGCAUGACCUAGCUUGCUAGGUUGAUGGCGAGUGGCGGACGGGUGAGUAACGCGUGGGAAUAUGCCCUAGAGACGAGGAUAACCUUUGGAAACAGGGGCUAAUACUGGAUAAACUCGAGAGAGCAAAGGUUGGAUUGCAGCCGCUUUAGGAAUAGCCUGCGUCCGAUUAGCUAGUUGGAGUGGUAAAGGCGCACCAAGGCGAUGAUCGGUAGCUGGUCUGAGAGGAUGGACAGCCACACUGGGACUGAGACACGGCCCAGACUCCUACGGGAGGCAGCAGUGGGGAAUAUUGGACAAUGGGGGGAACCCUGAUCCAGCAAUGCCGCGUGUGUGAAGAAGGCCUGCGGGUUGUAAAGCACUUUCAGUGAGGAGGAGGGUUAAUUGGUUAAGAGCUGAUUAAUUGGACGUUACUCACAGAAGAAGCACCGGCUAACUCCGUGCCAGCAGCCGCGGUAAUACGGAGGGUGCGAGCGUUAAUCGGAAUUACUGGGCGUAAAGGGUGCGUAGGCGGUUUAUUAAGUUGUAUGUAAAAUGCCAGGGCUUAACCUUGGGAGGUCAUACGAUACUGGUAGACUUGAGUACAGGAGAGGGCAGUGGAAUUUCCGGUGUAGCGGUGAAAUGCGUAGAGAUCGGAAGGAACAUCGGUGGCGAAGGCGGCUGCCUGGCCUGAUACUGACGCUGAGGCACGAAAGCGUGGGUAGCGAACA
RNAcentral lists this ribosomal RNA (750 nucleotides) under uncultured Legionella sp. RNAcentral's name for it is "bacterial SSU rRNA". It matches the Rfam family "Bacterial small subunit ribosomal RNA", at positions 28 to 774 of the family's 1533-position model. The record is from RNAcentral. Lineage: Bacteria; Pseudomonadati; Pseudomonadota; Gammaproteobacteria; Legionellales; Legionellaceae.